UGUUAAGUUUAUGUUCAUCCCUGUGCUUGUGUGUAUGGUUAGAUUAGUUACCGUAUGCACUGUGUAUAGUUUUGUUUUCUAGUUUAAGUUUACGAGUCGUGUCUAGCUGUAGCCUAGCCUUCAUGUCUUUUUUUUCUGUCUGCUUCCCAAUGUUUUUCUUCCCAAUGUUUUGCUUCCUUUAAAGAAAUUCUGCAUUUUGCAUCCGUCUACCUGGAUUCUCCGUUAUGACAUAAUUGGACAUUAUGGAAACAUUUGGUGUUAACAUUCUACAAACAUUGCAUGUAGGACUGAGUGUGCCAAACUUGUUGCCUUCCAAAUGAGAGAGAAACUGUGUGUGUGUUAGUCCAUAAAACAGGAUUUGCUCCUUUAGUCUGGAUUAGCUUGAAAAGCACUCACUCCCCACUAAAAGCACUACAUAUGGCCAAACUACUGUCAGGUUUCUCUGGCUUUGGAGAAGAUUAUCACUUGCGUAAGUGUUUGAGCACUCAGUGCUGUGUGAAGAACUCCAGCUGCAAACAUGCCUCCCUGUUCACCACUGCUGCAUGGACUCACACUGUUCUGCUGCUGGGCGCUGCUUUCAAUUUUUAUAACACAAGCUGAUGCACUGCAGUGUUAUGCCUGUAACAUCCAGGGCCAAAGAUAUGUGGAUGUAGGAUGUUCCAGUCCUGAGGUCAUCACCUGCUCCCAUUUCCACAAAGGCUUUAAGCAGCGUUUCUGCAUUAGAACAGAAAGCAUUGCUUUAGGGAUGGUGCUCACCAGUGGAUGUGCUACAUCCCGUCACUGCCACACAGAGGAACUUCCGGGAGUGAAAAUACACUGCUGCGACUCAGAUCUGUGUAACUGUGCUUCCUGGCAUCACAAGUCGUCAUUAUCAUCACAAAUACUUUACUUAAUGAUGGCUUCCUUUACCACACUGUGGCUACAGCUCUGAAAAGCAAAAAUGCCUAAAAAAGAAAUGCAGGGACAGAGGGCAUAAGUGUCAGAGAAUGAAAGCUUGUGCUAAGAUUUGAGAUGCAUUUUAACCUGGUAUGGGCCCAAAAACUACUACUGUUGCCCCUGGUAGACAGAACAAUCUACCCAAAUACAGGUGCUGUGGAAGGCCUGCAAAAUAUCUUUAGGUCUUUCUGUCCUUUCAUCUGUUGUCUUUACUUUGCACUUGUAAUCUUGUCUUUACUUUGCAUCUUGUUUCUUUUGAGUGUAUCUUUUAAUGCAAUUUAAUUUUGAUAGAUAUAGUUAUGCUCUCAUUUUCCCAUUUAUGCAUUUUUUAAUGUUUAUUUUAGUAAAGUGUUUUAAAACUGGAUGGACACAGUUACAUGUGGGCUUAUCCUUACGUGCACACUGUCCAAUCACAAUCAGAUUACAGUGUCUUAGAGGUGUACAACACAAUGUCAUCUUGAACCAAACAGAACCUGACAACAUAACAGCAUUAGCCCAAAGAAAUCACAGCUUUUUGCAACACUUCAUAAGCAGUGCUUGUGUAUCCAGUUAUGUGGGCCUUAUUUACAGCAGAGUAAAUUCUCAUCCAUCAUCAUUUCAAAUAUCACCUUCCCAUAGUUGGUCCUGUUAUUCCAUAUCAGUCUUGAAGAUUAUAACAUUUAGUUUGUUGUCAUUGUGCAAAUCACUGACACUCUUAGAAGUAAACAAAAAGUUGAAAAAUCUGAGAAACUGCAUUUAUUUCAUGGUUAUAAUAAAAUGUGUUAGAUUGUUUUGCUAAAGUACUAAAUGCUAAGAGAGAUUUUUUAACAAGUAGCUUUACUAAUAACUACUGUUACUAUUACUAUUAAC
Long non-coding RNA from Pangasianodon hypophthalmus (striped catfish), 1785 nucleotides. RefSeq lists it as uncharacterized. The record is from RefSeq and is a predicted model, not a curated record. The transcript has 5 exons. NCBI's taxonomy places the organism in Eukaryota, Metazoa, Chordata, Actinopteri, Siluriformes, Pangasiidae.